UCACAACAACUGUGUGGAGGUA
This 22-nucleotide non-coding RNA is filed under the name Mus musculus (house mouse). Lineage: Eukaryota; Metazoa; Chordata; Mammalia; Rodentia; Muridae. The record is from RNAcentral. RNAcentral also lists the same sequence under 1 other name.